RNA transcript from Gymnogyps californianus (California condor), 1584 nucleotides. It is a transcript of the gene named ribulose-5-phosphate-3-epimerase, with no coding region annotated. The transcript has 7 exons. NCBI's taxonomy places the organism in Eukaryota, Metazoa, Chordata, Aves, Accipitriformes, Cathartidae. The record is from RefSeq and is a predicted model, not a curated record.
AUGGCGUCGGGGUGCCGGAUCGGGCCGUCCGUCCUCAACAGCGACCUGGCGGCGCUGGGCGCCGAGUGCAGCCGCAUGCUGGACUGCGGCGCCGACUACCUCCACCUGGAUGUAAUGGACGGACACUUCGUCCCGAACAUCACCUUCGGCCACCCCGUCGUGGAGAGCCUGCGCAAGCAGCUGGGCCAGGAGCCCUUCUUCGACAUGCACAUGAUGGUCGCCAGACCAGAGCAGUGGGUGAAACCGAUGGCUGUCGCUGGCGCAAACCAAUACACCUUUCAUCUAGAGGCUACGGACAAUCCAGGGGCGUUGAUAAAAGACAUCCGGGAGAAUGGGAUGAAGGUUGGCUUGGCGAUCAAGCCUGGCACUACAGUUGAACACUUGGCACCUUGGGCCAAUCAGAUAGACAUGGCUUUGGUGAUGACGGUAGAACCUGGAUUCGGAGGGCAGAAGUUUAUGGAAGACAUGAUGCCAAAGGUUCAGUGGCUGAGGACACAGUUUCCCUCGCUGGAUAUUGAAGUGGACGGAGGAGUUGGGCCUGACACCAUCCAUAAGUGUGCAGAGGUGAAUAAAUGUCUUUGCUUCCUGUUUCCACUUGCAACCCCAUUUGAGAACUAGCGAAAGAAGAAUGGCGUCAUCUGGACCUACUGCACUGAAGACAUCUUUCAGAAGAGGUCUGCCAAAACACAGCUUGGCUAGGAAAGAAACUCCUCAUGCUGCCCCAGGGAUCAGACAGAGCAGGAAGCCCUGACCUUACAACAAAGCUGGGUGAGAGCUGGUUGGAUCAGGCUUCUUAAUGAACGGAUACGGGUACGGAAAAGACCUGCAAAGCAUUUGAGACACCUAACUUUCAGAAACCUUUUCCCAGCAGCAGAUGCACAUGCAGGACAAGAGAGAGGGAAAAAUCCACCUCUGUAUUGAGAUGCUGAGGGGGACCUUAGCCUCACAGCACCAGUGCAGCUUCAGUACGACAGCAAAGCUUAGUGCUGCUGCCACUUCAGCGUGUUUGCAAAGCCAUUCUUGGGCCAAGCAGGUCUCUGUGCCAAGAGGAAGCAUUACUGCUAUUUCUUCACUUCUAAAAGGCCAUCAAAUUCAGACUAUAUACAACAUAUAUAGAAAUAACUUUUAAUUAAAAAACCAACCUUGCAUCAAAGAUUAUUGUAUCAGACAUCGAGGCAAGAUUCAAGUUUAAGACAAACCAGUGUUAAAAAAGUGUUUAAAAAAAUAAUCAGAAUGUGCAAUAAACUACAAUGUAGCAAUAGGCUGUAGUGUUGAAACUUUACUGAACUGUUUUCAGAUGCCCAGUGUAUAUUUCCUGUCAUUUUGACCAAAAAAAAAAAAAAAAUUGACACUAAGACUGGGUCAUCUGUCCAGUGCCAUUCCUGGUAUUACACGUGGAAGAAAAUUUUGCACAAACAGAGACUCCUAUUAAAUUGCCUUCAACUGUCCUACACAGAAAAACUUCCCGUUGAUGGAUUAUACCUACAUUCAAUGUUUAAUCUUUGUUAAUACCUCUUGAGAUUGCAGAUACAUUCCAAACUACGCUAUUUAGAUGCAAGUUUAAACAACUUGCUCUUGUUUCCU